RNAcentral lists this ribosomal RNA (468 nucleotides) under uncultured bacterium. RNAcentral describes it as "partial 16S ribosomal RNA". It matches the Rfam family "Bacterial small subunit ribosomal RNA", at positions 28 to 507 of the family's 1533-position model. The record is from RNAcentral.
GACGAACGCUGGCGGCGUGCUUAACACAUGCAAGUCGAACGGAAAGGCCCUGCUUUUGUGGGGUGCUCGAGUGGCGAACGGGAGAGUAACACGUGAGUAACCUGCCCUUGACUUUGGGAUAACUUCAGGAAACUGGGGCUAAUACCGGAUAGGAGCUCCUGCUGCAUGGUGGGGGUUGGAAAGUUUCGGCGGUUGGGGAUGGACUCGCGGCUUAUCAGCUUGUUGGUGGGGUAGUGGCUUACCAAGGCUUUGACGGGUAGCCGGCCUGAGAGGGUGACCGGCCACAUUGGGACUGAGAUACGGCCCAGACUCCUACGGGAGGCAGCAGUGGGGAAUAUUGCACAAUGGGCGGAAGCCUGAUGCAGCAACGCCGCGUGCGGGAUGACGGCCUUCGGGUUGUAAACCGCUUUCGCCUGUGACGAAGCGUGAGUGACAGUAAUGGGUAAAGAAGCACCGGCUAACUACGUG